GGGAACUCAGACACAGGUGCUGCAUGGCUGUCGUCAGCUCGUGUCGUGAGAUGUUCGGUUAAGUCCGCUAACGAGCGCAACCCUCGUCGUAUGUUAUAUGUGUCAUACGAGACUGCCGGUAAAAAGCCGGAGGAAGGUGAGGAUGAUGUCAAGUCAGCAUGACCUUUAUAUCCAGGGCUACACACACGCUACAAUGGUCUGUACAAUGGGUAGCCAAGCCGCGAGGCGGAGCCAAUCCUGAAAGCAGGCCUCAGUUCAGAUUGCAGUCUGCAACUCGACUGCAUGAAGCCGGAGUUGCUAGUAACCGCAGGUCAGCAAUACUGCGGUGAAUACGUUCCCGGGUCUU
This 346-nucleotide ribosomal RNA is filed under the name uncultured Anaerolineaceae bacterium. RNAcentral's name for it is "bacterial SSU rRNA". It matches the Rfam family "Bacterial small subunit ribosomal RNA", at positions 1022 to 1382 of the family's 1533-position model. The record is from RNAcentral. Lineage: Bacteria; Bacillati; Chloroflexota; Anaerolineae; Anaerolineales; Anaerolineaceae.